Molecule: ribosomal RNA, 2189 nt
Filed under: Escherichia coli
Lineage: Bacteria; Pseudomonadati; Pseudomonadota; Gammaproteobacteria; Enterobacterales; Enterobacteriaceae
Description: partial 23S ribosomal RNA
Rfam family: Bacterial large subunit ribosomal RNA
Source: RNAcentral
GGUUAAGCGACUAAGCGUACACGGUGGAUGCCCUGGCAGUCAGAGGCGAUGAAGGACGUGCUAAUCUGCGAUAAGCGUCGGUAAGGUGAUAUGAACCGUUAUAACCGGCGAUUUCCGAAUGGGGAAACCCAGUGUGAUUCGUCACACUAUCAUUAACUGAAUCCAUAGGUUAAUGAGGCGAACCGGGGGAACUGAAACAUCUAAGUACCCCGAGGAAAAGAAAUCAACCGAGAUUCCCCCAGUAGCGGCGAGCGAACGGGGAGCAGCCCAGAGCCUGAAUCAGUGUGUGUGUUAGUGGAAGCGUCUGGAAAGGCGCGCGAUACAGGGUGACAGCCCCGUACACAAAAAUGCACAUGCUGUGAGCUCGAUGAGUAGGGCGGGACACGUGGUAUCCUGUCUGAAUAUGGGGGGACCAUCCUCCAAGGCUAAAUACUCCUGACUGACCGAUAGUGAACCAGUACCGUGAGGGAAAGGCGAAAAGAACCCCGGCGAGGGGAGUGAAAAAGAACCUGAAACCGUGUACGUACAAGCAGUGGGAGCACGCUUAGGCGUGUGACUGCGUACCUUUUGUAUAAUGGGUCAGCGACUUAUAUUCUGUAGCAAGGUUAACCGAAUAGGGGAGCCGAAGGGAAACCGAGUCUUAACUGGGCGUUAAGUUGCAGGGUAUAGACCCGAAACCCGGUGAUCUAGCCAUGGGCAGGUUGAAGGUUGGGUAACACUAACUGGAGGACCGAACCGACUAAUGUUGAAAAAUUAGCGGAUGACUUGUGGCUGGGGGUGAAAGGCCAAUCAAACCGGGAGAUAGCUGGUUCUCCCCGAAAGCUAUUUAGGUAGCGCCUCGUGAAUUCAUCUCCGGGGGUAGAGCACUGUUUCGGCAAGGGGGUCAUCCCGACUUACCAACCCGAUGCAAACUGCGAAUACCGGAGAAUGUUAUCACGGGAGACACACGGCGGGUGCUAACGUCCGUCGUGAAGAGGGAAACAACCCAGACCGCCAGCUAAGGUCCCAAAGUCAUGGUUAAGUGGGAAACGAUGUGGGAAGGCCCAGACAGCCAGGAUGUUGGCUUAGAAGCAGCCAUCAUUUAAAGAAAGCGUAAUAGCUCACUGGUCGAGUCGGCCUGCGCGGAAGAUGUAACGGGGCUAAACCAUGCACCGAAGCUGCGGCAGCGACGCUGAUGCGUUGUUGGGUAGGGGAGCGUUCUGUAAGCCUGUGAAGGUGUGCUGUGAGGCAUGCUGGAGGUAUCAGAAGUGCGAAUGCUGACAUAAGUAACGAUAAAGCGGGUGAAAAGCCCGCUCGCCGGAAGACCAAGGGUUCCUGUCCAACGUUAAUCGGGGCAGGGUGAGUCGACCCCUAAGGCGAGGCCGAAAGGCGUAGUCGAUGGGAAACAGGUUAAUAUUCCUGUACUUGGUGUUACUGCGAAGGGGGGACGGAGAAGGCUAUGUUGGCCGGGCGACGGUUGUCCCGGUUUAAGCGUGUAGGCUGGUUUUCCAGGCAAAUCCGGAAAAUCAAGGCUGAGGCGUGAUGACGAGGCACUACGGUGCUGAAGCAACAAAUGCCCUGCUUCCAGGAAAAGCCUCUAAGCAUCAGGUAACAUCAAAUCGUACCCCAAACCGACACAGGUGGUCAGGUAGAGAAUACCAAGGCGCUUGAGAGAACUCGGGUGAAGGAACUAGGCAAAAUGGUGCCGUAACUUCGGGAGAAGGCACGCUGAUAUGUAGGUGAAGCGACUUGCUCGUGGAGCUGAAAUCAGUCGAAGAUACCAGCUGGCUGCAACUGUUUAUUAAAAACACAGCACUGUGCAAACACGAAAGUGGACGUAUACGGUGUGACGCCUGCCCGGUGCCGGAAGGUUAAUUGAUGGGGUCAGCGCAAGCGAAGCUCUUGAUCGAAGCCCCGGUAAACGGCGGCCGUAACUAUAACGGUCCUAAGGUAGCGAAAUUCCUUGUCGGGUAAGUUCCGACCUGCACGAAUGGCGUAAUGAUGGCCAGGCUGUCUCCACCCGAGACUCAGUGAAAUUGAACUCGCUGUGAAGAUGCAGUGUACCCGCGGCAAGACGGAAAGACCCCGUGAACCUUUACUAUAGCUUGACACUGAACAUUGAGCCUUGAUGUGUAGGAUAGGUGGGAGGCUUUGAAGUGUGGACGCCAGUCUGCAUGGAGCCGGCCUUGAAAUACCACCCUUUAAUGUUU